This 254-nucleotide ribosomal RNA is filed under the name uncultured bacterium. Its description in RNAcentral is "partial 16S ribosomal RNA". It matches the Rfam family "Bacterial small subunit ribosomal RNA", at positions 524 to 776 of the family's 1533-position model. The record is from RNAcentral.
UACGUAGGGUGCGAGCGUUGUCCGGAAUUAUUGGGCGUAAAGAGCUCGUAGGCGGUGUGUCACGUCGGCCGUGAAAACCUGCAGCUUAACUGUGGGCGUGCGGUCGAUACGGGCAUCACUGGAGUUCGGCAGGGGAGACUGGAAUUCCUGGUGUAGCGGUGAAAUGCGCAGAUAUCAGGAGGAACACCGGUGGCGAAGGCGGGUCUCUGGGCAGUUACUGACGCUGAGGAGCGAAAGCGUGGGGAGCGAACAGG